Long non-coding RNA from Mauremys reevesii (Reeves's turtle), 2497 nucleotides. RefSeq lists it as uncharacterized. The record is from RefSeq and is a predicted model, not a curated record. The transcript has 3 exons. NCBI's taxonomy places the organism in Eukaryota, Metazoa, Chordata, Testudines, Geoemydidae.
ACAGAAGUUCUGGACGCCUGCCUGCUGCUGUAAAUUCAUAACAAGGAAGCCUAAAACUCAAAGAAUCAGAAGACAGUGGUGUCCAGCAAAACAAUGCGUUAGAACCAAAACUCCAACAAAGGCACAGCCAGCAGUUAUGCAGGAUGGGUGUGGUAGUGGCUCUGCCUGGAGGGUGAGUGAGAAGGACACAUCUAGUUUGGUUCACGAGAUGGUGGAGGGCACAAUCCUCAACGCUGAAGUUUGGGACUUGUCCGUAUUUCAGCUCCUACGGACUAUUUACUGCCAGAGCUGUGGAGUGUGACAAUGGUGUUUGUGUCCAAUCUAUCAAACGCCAUUAUCACACUAAAUAGCUACUGUUAGAUAAGCCAUCAGGUCACAGAAGGAAGAGAGCUUUAAGCAAUACAUUUUCUGGCUGUGAUGAGGAAUAAAGCAGGUUUGUUCUUGUAUGUCAUGAUGACUGUGCUCUUUUAUGAGCAAUGCUAAAAUAAUUUACAAUAAACAAAUACUCUGCUGUACGGCUUCCAGUUGUAAAACUCCUUUUUAAAUUACACAUUGUAAUGAACUUAAUGCUGUCCAUUUGCUUUUACCGAGUCAUGUUUAUAUUCAUGGAUUGUAAUGUUUUUAUUCAGCAAUGCAAGUGGCUGUGAAUUCUUCCCUUAUUUAGAUUUCUGUUAGGUUAUAGCUGGCAACCUGCAGCCCCUAUUUAAGCAGUGUUGUCAGUAUUUAAUGCAUUUAAUUAACAUGUUUUGGUCUGGAACAUAUUCUUCAAUGAUCUCAUUGAAAUGAUCUCACAAAGACCAUUGUGGCAGUGAAAUAAAUUUGUUUGGAGGUCAGUUGUACAAAUACAACACAGUGGACUCACGAUUAAAGAAAAUGAAUCAGGAGUAUUGCUGGCAAAUCAUCAAACAGACAUGACGUUGUCAGAAAAGAAACCCGGGGCCCAGUCCUGCAACCCUUAAACAAAUAGUGUUUGGGCAUUUGAGUCUCAUGGAAGUCAGUGAAAGCUCUGGGUGUUCAAUAUCUUUAAAAAUGUAGGGUCAGAUUAUGAGCCCCUUACUCGUGUUGAAUAGUCCCGACAAAUAGUCCUGUUGAAGCUAACUUGGGAAAGACUGUGCUACCUCGUAUGACUAAUGGUGUCACAAUCUGGCCCUUAUUUAGGUGCCUAUUUGUAAGUACCCGAGUUUGAAACAUUAGGCUUAGAUGCCCAACUUAGCACUUUACACACCUAGGUUUGACUAUUGGGCCCUAAGUAAAAUGAAUGCAGGAACGAGCAGAUGACGAUGAUCACUGCUUCUGUAUUGCAGUAUUAGAUUAGCAAGUGGUGACCUAAGUAGAGCAAUUGCCUUUCAUUCAUAGCAUCUAUAUGGUUCUCCUUAUUAGGGCAUGGAAAACUUGUAUUUAACACUCGACUUACCUUUUAUAUAAACAUGACAUAAAUCUGCCACUGCAGCUGCACUACACAUCCUUGGGCAAAGACAGCUUUGUUCCCGUGUUGGACAAGUAUGAAAAAUAAAUCGUGAUGAUGCUAGUUUAUCUCUUGGUGGAUGUUUCUCCCUUUUUAGAGAAAACACCAGCAAGAAAAAUUAGGUUGGGCUCCUCAGAUAACACAGAAUGCCAGUAGUGUUCCAUCCCAGAUGUGAUUGCAUGUUGGUGUUUACAGGCUAGAUCAGUUGUGCAUGGUCUGUAAAGAUCCUUGCAAGAAAAGCAUCCUGCAAGGUAAUGAGUGAAUAUGAAUGCAGCAUCAGGCUUCCCACAAACAAAAGGAAAGGAAACUUUACUCACAGCCCUAUACUACCAGUGUGCCAUUUCUUCUUGCAGACUUCCCAGCCAUUGCUUUUUAGCUGUUUUUGCAGUUAUUCGUUUACCCUACUACCAAUGCCAAAUGACUUCUGAUAGCUCAGAGGAGCAUGCUGGAACUGUAACACAAAGCAGAAAUGGGUCUAGAAUGGAAAUAUUUAUUGUUCAUGGAUACACACAACCUGGCUGAUUAAUUGAAAGUGACAGGAACCCAGGAGAGCUUGCAAACAAAUACAGCCUGUGUUUUAUUUCACAAAUCUUCAAAGGACUGAACAUGUGCUAAGGAAGUUUGUCCAUUAGAUUACCCAUAAACAAACGACAGUAGCCCACAAAUGGUCCAUCUAAUCUAUGGUGCAAAAAUUAUGUUGGAUAAACAUGCUUAGUGUAUUCGAAAAGAAAGAAAGGUAAAAAUAGUUUUACUUCCUCAAGUUUCUCUCUGCUCUCAGUACACCCCUUCUACCUUCAUAUCUAUCUGUUCCUGUUCCAGUCCAAUUGGCUGACGGUCAGGGGUCUGUAAAAUCCCCUCUUUCCCUUGUCUUGGUGAGAGAGAACAUUACACAGAUACAUAAACCUUAAAAAAAAGUCAGUGCUGAGGCAUGUUGAGCCUGCAGCCAUAGCAUUUGGUAGAGUCUGAAUUCUCCCCUUCUUCAUUACUGUAACUAUAGAGUUGUCUGUUGAGAACUACUGGGCUAAGUUAAGA